RNAcentral lists this unclassified non-coding RNA (2538 nucleotides) under Hevea brasiliensis (rubber tree). The record is from RNAcentral. Lineage: Eukaryota; Viridiplantae; Streptophyta; Magnoliopsida; Malpighiales; Euphorbiaceae.
AAUAAUAAUAAUAAAUUGGUGAAUGAGGAAAUGACAGCGAGGACGGAAGUCGCAUUUGCUUCUCUGGAUCAAACACCAAUAACAAAUAAUAAACCAGUUUGCAAACUAACAGUUUUCAGUUUUCCAUUACAUCUUCUGUUACUUUUCCGUUUUCAUCAUCAAUUCUCUAUACAUCUACUUUCUGCAAAAUUUUCCCAAUUUCCACUCACAAAUCUCAUAAAACAUGUCAUACGCAUACCUCUUCAAGUACAUCAUCAUCGGAGAUACUGGAGUUGGGAAAUCCUGUCUUCUGCUUCAGUUCACGGACAAGAGGUUCCAGCCCGUCCAUGACCUCACCAUAGGUGUGGAAUUUGGGGCUCGAAUGAUCACUAUCGACAACAAACCAAUCAAGCUCCAAAUUUGGGACACGGUUUCUUUCUAUUCUUUUUCUCAUCUUCUCUAUUUUCAUCCAAUUUGUCAAAUUUCUUUAUUUUCUUCUUGAUAUGAUAGGCGGGUCAAGAAUCCUUUAGAUCUAUUACGAGGUCCUAUUAUAGAGGGGCUGCUGGUGCUUUGCUCGUCUAUGACAUUACCAGGUAGGAAACGUACUUGGGAGUAUUUAUUUUCUUGUUUGUAAUCAUCAGUUGCUCUAUCUUUUUAUUGGUUCUAUGGUAUAAACUGUUCUUUUGUAUGCAAGUUUCUAGAUGGAUUAGGGGUUUUCUAUUAUGUGCAAAUUAUACCACAUGAUGCUCGUGGCGCUCUCGUAAACUCAUUAAAUUCUGGAAUUUGCAUUGCUUCUUCACAUGUUUCCCUUAUACUAUUGUCGCCUAAGAUAUCCAAUCAGAGUACCUAUUUCUAAAUUCUAAUGUCAUGAUACAGUGUUGGGCAGUUGCUUAGCAUAAUUACGGGCAAGCCUACCUUCUGUCCCUGUUGUGGUAUGCUUAGUAUUGAUGUCUACUUUCUUUUCUUUUUUAUACAGGAGGGAAACUUUUAAUCACUUGGCUAGCUGGCUGGAGGACGCCAGGCAGCAUGCAAAUGCUAACAUGACAAUUAUGCUUAUUGGUAAUAAGUGCGAUCUUGCCCAUAGAAGGGCUGUGAGCACAGAAGAAGGGGAACAAUUUGCCAAGGAGCAUGGUUUAAUCUUUAUGGAGGCUUCAGCAAAAACUGCUCAGAAUGUUGAGGAGGUGAAGGCACAUAGUGCCCAUAUGGUGGAGAAUAUUUUGGAACAAAUUUUUUUUUUUAAUCAUCUUUUAAAUUAGAUUUUCUUAUAGGAAGAUUCUCCAUGCAGGCAUUUAUUAAAACAGCUGCAACAAUAUAUAAGAAGAUUCAGGAUGGAGUUUUUGAUGUAUCAAAUGAGGUCAGUUUUCUUUCUUUUACAUGGUCACUCGCACAAAUGGUCUAAAUAUUUCCAGCAUAUUGAUGUUUUAGUAAUGUAUCUAUGGUCCAUUUGACUGACUUCUCCAUGUCAAUUGAUUAUGUGAAUUUUGAAAAUUGAAGGUAGACUACCCAUUAAGGUUGGCUAAAUUGUUACAACUUGAAUGAUCCCAAGUGGGGGUCAUGGAUUCAAAAUAUAGAUAUUUUCGUGAAGAGAGAGGGAGACGAUGACGAUGAUUUUACUGGUUUUGGCUGCUUUGGUUAUUACUCUUUGCUAUUGUCUUCUUAGGAAAAGAUCUGAGUACCUUUGGUUACUGCCAUGAAAAUUAGGUGUUAGAGGGUGUUUGAAUUGAUGAGGUUUGCUUAUUGAUCUUCAUGUUGCUGCUAUUCAAGUUUUCAUGAUCUCAGUUGUUUUCAGCUUACAAUGUUGCUCAUUGUUGAUGUUCUUGUGAAAAGAUACAAGUGACAUUGAUUAGUGCUAUGAAAAUUUUUUAUAGAAGGUUUUUCAAAUUAACAAGGUUUGCUUAUCAAUCUUUGUGCAAAUUUUCAUGGAAUUAAUCUGUUUGCAAUUUAUUGUGCUAAUUUGCAUUAUUUUCAAGAAUGAAGCAUGGCCAGUAGGUAUGAGGCCUGCAUGCACACCUAUUGCAGUAUUGCUGGAAGAGAGUUGUAGAUGGUGUUGCUGAUACGAUGUUUUGGUUCUUUGCAGUCAUAUGGAAUAAAAGUUGGAUAUGGUGGAAUCCCAGGGCCCUCUGGAGGCAGAGAUGGCUCUUCUUCUCAAGCUGGAGGCUGCUGCAGUUGAAUUUCAAACUCAUUUGUUACACUGAGUCACAACCAGUUGACUUUUCUUCUGUCAUUUGUGUCUGAAUAUUGUAACUUGUUUUUGAUAUGUGCGGAUUCAGGGGGUGAUACAUGUACAAUCCACCUUGAUGUUCCGUGUAUUGAUUGUAAAUUCAUCAAAUGCUUUAGUUUCCUUUCCCAUUAUUUUGCCGGAUUGUAUUAGUUUCUUCCUUUGCAGUGUUGAAGGAAACUCUGAAUUGUGAAAUACAGAAAGUCUAUUUUAAUCUUUGUACUUGUUUUGUAUUAAUGUUUGAUAUCUGAACAGCAGAUUUGUUGAGGAGCUAAACUAGGUAGUUUUAUUUGGUGGGGAUGUAAGUGAAUUUUGGAUCAAAUCCCCAAGGCACCCCUUGC